AGCCGAUCGGUAAAACAAGCGUACCCGUUUGAACGCCGCCCGCGCGCCGCUUUAGCUACUGUAGCCGCAGCCUCUUAGCACAACAUGCUAGCCCUCUCUAAUAAAACACCGGCGAGAACGCUUCCUGCUCAACAGAACACCGUUAACACGUUUGUGUACUGACGUCUUAAACACACGGAACCGAGUUUUAGAGAAAUUAAGAUGUGCAGCUUUUUUUUUUAAAGUCGGGAUUCGCUCAGAAGUCGUGACACCGAGUGCUAGCCUACGACGGGCUCGUCAAGGCCACGGCGGAGUUCGCUAGUUUGGGUCAGUGGAUCUUCUCAGACACGUUCAUUUUCCUGCUGAUGGCUCUAGAGUUGUCUGCUUCACCGGGUCGAGCUGAGGUGAGCAAACUUACAGUAGUUCUUUCUGCUGAGGGAUUCAGUCUGCGAAUUUCAAAGCUCCGAAGUUCGACGGCGGUGAUCUGGUGCUCCUUCAUCC
Molecule: long non-coding RNA, 480 nt
Filed under: Betta splendens (Siamese fighting fish)
Lineage: Eukaryota; Metazoa; Chordata; Actinopteri; Anabantiformes; Osphronemidae
Description: lncRNA (ENSBSLG00000006337.1)
Source: RNAcentral